Molecule: ribosomal RNA, 1480 nt
Filed under: metagenome
Description: bacterial SSU rRNA
Rfam family: Bacterial small subunit ribosomal RNA
Source: RNAcentral
AGAGUUUGAUCAUGGCUCAGAUUGAACGCUGGCGGCAGGCCUAACACAUGCAAGUCGAGCGGCAGCACUUCGGGUGGCGAGCGGCGGACGGGUGAGUAACACGUAGGAAUCUACCUAGUAGUGGGGGAUAGCCCGGGGAAACUCGGAUUAAUACCGCAUACGCUCUACGGAGGAAAGGGGGCUUCGGCUCUCGCUAUUAGAUGAGCCUGCGUCGGAUUAGCUAGUUGGUAGGGUAAAGGCCUACCAAGGCUACGAUCCGUAACUGGUCUGAGAGGAUGAUCAGUCACACUGGAACUGAGACACGGUCCAGACUCCUACGGGAGGCAGCAGUGGGGAAUAUUGGACAAUGGGGGCAACCCUGAUCCAGCCAUGCCGCGUGUGUGAAGAAGGCCUUCGGGUUGUAAAGCACUUUCAGUUGGGAGGAAAAGUUUGUGGUUAAUACCCACGAGCCGUGACGUUACCAACAGAAGAAGCACCGGCUAACUCCGUGCCAGCAGCCGCGGUAAAUACGGAGGGUGCAAGCGUUAAUCGGAAUUACUGGGCGUAAAGCGCGCGUAGGCGGCUUGUUAAGCGGAAUGUGAAAUCCCCGGGCUCAACCUGGGCACUGCAUUCCGAACUGGCUGGCUAGAGUGUGGUAGAGGAAGGUGGAAUUCCAGGUGUAGCGGUGAAAUGCGUAGAUAUCUGGAGGAACAUCAGUGGCGAAGGCGACCUUCUGGACCAACACUGACGCUCAGGUGCGAAAGCGUGGGGAGCAAACAGGAUUAGAUACCCUGGUAGUCCACGCCGUAAACGAUGUCUACUAGCCGUUGGGGUCCUUGAGACUUUAGUGGCGCAGCUAACGCGAUAAGUAGACCGCCUGGGGAGUACGGCCGCAAGGUUAAAACUCAAAUGAAUUGACGGGGGCCCGCACAAGCGGUGGAGCAUGUGGUUUAAUUCGACGCAACGCGAAGAACCUUACCUACUCUUGACAUCUACAGAAGUCUGCAGAGAUGCGGAUGUGCCUUCGGGAACUGUAAGACAGGUGCUGCAUGGCUGUCGUCAGCUCGUGUUGUGAAAUGUUGGGUUAAGUCCCGUAACGAGCGCAACCCUUGUCCUUAUUUGCCAUCAUUUAGUUGGGAACUCUAAGGAGACUGCCGGUGACAAACCGGAGGAAGGCGGGGACGACGUCAAGUCAUCAUGCCCCUUACGAGUAGGGCUACACACGUGCUACAAUGGGGCGUACAAAGGGUUGCCAAGCCGCGAGGUGGAGCUAAUCCCAUAAAGCGUCUCGUAGUCCGGAUUGGAGUCUGCAACUCGACUCCAUGAAGUCGGAAUCGCUAGUAAUCGUAAAUCAGAAUGUUACGGUGAAUACGUUCCCGGGCCUUGUACACACCGCCCGUCACACCAUGGGAGUGGGUUGCUCCAGAAGUAGAUAGCUUAACCUUCGGGAGGGCGUUUACCACGGAGUGAUUCAUGACUGGGGUGAAGUCGUAACAAGGUA